ACUCCUGCAAGAGAAAAGGGGUUCAGGGGGAGAGGAGACAAGGGUAGAAAGGGUGAGCUCUGAGGGGCUCCCUGGCCAACGUACCAGGAUAGAAAUGUCCCUUUCCCUCUUCCCAGAAUCCUUCUUCAGUAUGUGUCACCCCUUCCCAUUGGAAUAUAAGCUCCUGGAGGGUGGGCUUGUUUGUGUCUGUACCCCCACCCUUUAGCACAGUGCUGGGCACAUAGUGGGUGCUCAAUAAAUGUUUGCUCUCCUUUUCUCUCUCUCUCAUCGAUCGUGUCUUCCUGCCCAUCUACCUGUCCACCUUACUCAUCUCUCAGGAACUCCCAUCCAUCAAAGGAAGAUGAAGCCUUCUGAAGGGUAUGGAGGAUCUGUUUAUCCUCAUCUGGUGGCCGGCUUUUUGGGCGAUUAUCGCCUUAAGCCUGGGGAGCUGAUAAGAACUCAGAACUUGGAAUUCUGACAAGGCCAAGCCCGAAGGCUGGAUCCACAGAGACACCCUCAUUUGUCCGUGCCCAGCCCCUCCGGCCACCCCUCUCCGAGGAGGUACAGGAUCAAGAACUCUGGAUUGGACUAGGGAAGAACGGGGUUCGAGUCUCAAUUCUACCUGCUGCUCCCUGGGUGAUUUGGGACAAGUCACCUCCCUGCUCUCAGUCUUGGCUUCUUGUCUGUAAAAUGGGCCAGAUGCCUCGGAGGUCCCUUAGCUGUGGCUCUGUGAUCCCCCCCCCCGUACCCCUCUCCACUGGGCAGUGGCUAUCUUGAUACAGGCAUAAUGGCAGCAGGAAUUAGCCGGUCCCCAGGAGGCCAGGCCUUGCUAACAAACCCCUAUUUCUGAGAGGCGUCAGUGCAUUUUAGGCCUCCGUUCACCAUCCCUGUAACUCUCCAAACCGAGACACCACAACUGCCUUCCCUGAUGUAGAAUGGAAGCCUCUUGAGGGCAGGGACUGCCUUCGGGUUGACACACGUAUCCCCCGUCUUUAGAAACAAGAGCCAGGGAGGGCCUGAUCGAAGCUUUCUCAUUCCUGAAUUGUUCAUGGCAAAGGCCGCAGGCUGUAGCCCAGAUUCGUGGCUGCCUGGAGCCUCAGGAGUCACCUCGUCCACUACCUUCCUUUUGUAGGGGAGGAAGCUAAAGCCCAGAGAUAGGGAAGUCCCGAGUCCCGCAGGCGAUGCUCGGGAACCGGGCUGGUACGGACGCUCCAGGCUCUCAGACUUGAGAUCCAGAGUUCUUUCCUCUACACAUCCUGGUUUUCCCCAUGUAGGAGUCCUUAGUGUUGUUUAAAAUACCUGCAGAUACUUAGGAAUCUAUCUCCAGAGACAAACACAGGAACUAUAUGAACACAACUACAAAACACUCUCCACACAACUAAAACUAGACUUGAACAAUUGGAAAAACACUAACUGCUCAUGGAUAGGACGAGCCAAUAUAAUAAAAAUGACCCUCCUACCCAAA
This is a long non-coding RNA of Monodelphis domestica (gray short-tailed opossum), 1444 nucleotides long. RefSeq lists it as uncharacterized. The record is from RefSeq and is a predicted model, not a curated record. NCBI's taxonomy places the organism in Eukaryota, Metazoa, Chordata, Mammalia, Didelphimorphia, Didelphidae.